GCCCGGUGCACUCUUCUGCAGGCAGGCCAGCAUCAGUUUGGGCGGUGGGAUAAAGGUCUCUGUCAUGUACCUCUCUUCGGGGAGGCCUUAUAGGGGAGGCGACAUACCACCAGCCUAGACUGAGGUCCGCGCAUCUGCUAGGAUGCUGGCGUAAUGGCUGUAAGCGGCCCGUCUUGAAACACGGACCAAGGAGUC
Molecule: ribosomal RNA, 195 nt
Filed under: Exserohilum rostratum
Lineage: Eukaryota; Fungi; Ascomycota; Dothideomycetes; Pleosporales; Pleosporaceae
Description: partial large subunit ribosomal RNA
Source: RNAcentral